CCACCAUCGGGCGGCAGCUGGCGACCGCGCUGGCGCCGGUGCUGUCGGGCAAGCUGGCUCAGCUGGACAUGGGCAAGGUCGCCGCCCGCAUGGUGGA
This 97-nucleotide transfer RNA is filed under the name Nocardia wallacei. RNAcentral describes it as "tRNA-Thr". The record is from RNAcentral. Lineage: Bacteria; Bacillati; Actinomycetota; Actinomycetes; Mycobacteriales; Nocardiaceae.